Long non-coding RNA from Macaca mulatta (Rhesus monkey), 2713 nucleotides. The record is from Ensembl. Lineage: Eukaryota; Metazoa; Chordata; Mammalia; Primates; Cercopithecidae.
GCAUUCUACUACAUGAGGUUAACUAUCUUAAUAAAAUAAAAGUGAUAUUAGAAGUGUGAAGUAAGCAUCCUUUUUAUAAUCAGAACUUUUUCUUUCCACAUUUUCCAUUUGGAGUUUUAAAAGGAUAAAAUUCUAGGCUGGGCGCGGUGGCUCAUACCUGUAAUCCCAGCACUUUGGGAGGCCAAGGCAGGUGGAUCACUUGAGGUCAGGAGUUGGAGACCAGCCUGGCCAACAUGGUGAAGCCCCAUCUCUACCAAAAAUAUAAAACUAGCUGGGCAUGAUGGCAUGCGCCUGUAAUCCCAGUUACUUGUGAGGCUGAGGCAAGAGAAUCACUUGAACCCAGGAGGCGGAGGUUGCAGUGAGCCAAGAUCACACCACUGCACUCCAGCCUGGGAGACAGAGUGAGACCCUGACACAAAAUGAAUAAAUAAGUAUCAAAACAAAAGGACGAAAUUCUAGAAUAAAUCAUAUAAAUUUGCUGAAUUUUGUGUUUUCCUUCGAUGUAUGACUUUUUUUUUUUUUUUUUUUUUUUUUGAGACAGAGUCUCACUCUGCUCCCCUGGCUGGAGUGCAAUGGCAUGAUCUUGGCUCACUGUAGCCUCCACCUCCUGGGUUCAAGCGAUUCUCCUGCUCAGCCUCCUUUAUAUUUUAUACAAAUAUAAAAAUUUUUGUAUUUUUAGCAGAGAUAGGGUGUCACCAUGUUGGCCAGGCUGGUCUCGAACUCCUGACCUCAAAUGAUUCAUCCACCUUGGCCUCUCAUAGUGCUGGAAUUACAGGUACACCUGGCCAAUGUAUGACUGUUACAUAUUUCUUCUAUUCUAUUAUAGUCUUUAUGCAUACGAUUCUGUCUUGUCUUACAGAUGAGGGAAGAGUUAAUGUGAAUGUGGUGAUGGAUGAAGGAUAUCUUUUUACAGGUGAGAAGGUUGAUGCUAGGAACCUGGAAAAUUUUCUGGAAAAUAUGGGGAUAAAUCUCACAGAAGAUAAAGGCAUGCAACUGCUGAAUAAUCUUCCAAUUGAUGCCAAAGGAAAGGUAUAUGUGAACAGAUUGAUGAAAGAAUUGAGAGGUCUUGAAGGUGAGUGAUAAGUAAGAUAAAAAGGCAGGUAAAACUGAGGUCCUCAAGCUUUACUGUUGUUUUCAAAAACCCUUGCUAUUUCACAAUUUUCAGAUUAUUAAUCCUACUGUCCCAACUGUUUAUUAAUUCAUUGUUUAUCCUUAUGUGCUUUAAGCACACUGCAAUCACUAAAAUGGUUUAACUACAGUAGACUCAAAAACAGUGGUUCCCAAAUAAAGUUGUGCAUCAGAAUCACCAAGAAAAAAACACUGUUUUAGCAUUCAGAUCACUAGGCCCUUUUUCUGUCAUACUGAUCUUGGAUUUCUAGAGCUAGUACCUAGAAACACGUUAUUAAAAAGUUUUGAGGAGGAGGGACCAAGAUGGCCCAAUAGGAAGAGCUCUGGUCUACAGGUCCAGCAAGACCAUCACAGAAGGUGGGUGAUUUCUCCUUUUCCAAUUGAGGUACCCAGUUCAUCUUAUUGGGACUGGUUGGGCAGUGGGUCCAACCCAUGGAGGGCAAGCAGAAGCAAGGUAGGGCAUUGCUUCACCCAGGAAGUGCAAGGAGCCAGGGACCUCCCUCCCCACAUCCAAGGGAAGCCGUGAGGAACUGUGCUACCCCGCUGGGUUACUACACUUUUCCCACAGUUUUUGCAAUCUGCAGAUCAGGAGAUUCCUUCAUGUGCCUACACCACCAGGGCCCUGGGUUUCAAGCACAAAACUGGGCAGCUAUUUGGGCAGACACUGAGCUAGCUGCAGGAGUAUUUUUUUGAACCCCAGUAGUGCCUGGAACCCCAGUGAGACAGAACCAUUCACUUCUCUGGAAAGCGGGCUGAAGCCAGGGAGCCAAGUGGUCUCGCUCAGCAGGUCCCAGUCCCAUGGAACCCAGCAAGCUAAGAACCACUGGCUUGAAAUUCUCACUGCCAGCACAGCAGUCUGAAGUCAAACUGGGAUGAUCAAGCUUGGUAGAGGGGGGAGCGUCUGCCAUUAUUGAGGCUUUAGUAGGUAGUUUUACCCUGACAGUGCUAAGGAAGCUGGGAGGUCUGGGGUGGGCACAGCAAAGCAGCUGUGGCCAGACUGCUUCUCUAGAUUCCUUCUCACUGGGCAUGGCAUCUCUGAAGGAAAGGUAACAGCCCCAGUCAGGGGCCUACAGACAAAAUCCCCAUCUCCCUGGGACAGAGCACCUGGGGGAAGGGGUGGCUGUGGGCCACAGCUUCAGCAGAUUUAAUCAUUCCUGCCUGCUGUCUCUGAAGAGAGCAGCUGAUCCUGACAAGAGGGAUUCUCCUAGCACAGCACACCAGCUCUGCUAAUGGACAGACUGCCUCCUCAGGUGGGUCCUUUACCCCUGUGCCUCCUGACUGGGAGAAAUUGCCCAACAGGGGUCGACAGACAUCUCAUACAAGAGAGCUCCAGGCCAGUGCCCCUCUGGGACGAAGCUUCCAGAGGAAGGAGCAGGGAGCAAUCUUUGCUGUUCUGCAGUCUCCACUGGUGAUACCCAGGCAAACAGGGUCUGGAGUGGACCUCCAACAAACUUCAGCAGACCUGCAGAAGAGGGGCCUGACUUUUAGAAGAAAAACUAACAAACAGAAAGCAACAACAUCAACAUCAACAUAAAGGACCCCCACACAAAAACCCUAUCCAAAGGUCAUCAGCCUCAAAGAUCAA